Long non-coding RNA from Phyllostomus hastatus (greater spear-nosed bat), 3758 nucleotides. RefSeq lists it as uncharacterized. The transcript is spliced from 4 exons. The record is from RefSeq and is a predicted model, not a curated record. NCBI's taxonomy places the organism in Eukaryota, Metazoa, Chordata, Mammalia, Chiroptera, Phyllostomidae.
UUCUCACUUUUGGACACUGAACUCGGCCUCUGCUGGCUGGACAGCAAGAUCCUUGGACACGAGCAGGAGCCCCCAUUCUCUCUUGGACCCUAGCUGAGCGGCAAAGCCCUCGUCCACGCACCGGCCAGCCCAGGGCAAAGUCUGUGGUCCCCUCGCCCGGCACCAUUCUGGGAGGCUCCGGGGCGGGGGUGAGUGAUUCAGUCCUCAGCCCCGGGUGCCGGGACACCUUGGUGGCCGUGGGGUGAUGGCUCCACACCUUGAGAGGCCGCGCCUCCACCUGCCGCAUUUCCUCUUUCUGAGUCACCCACUUGCUCAGAACGCUUGACUUUGGGACUUCCUGUCCGCACUCCCGGCCGCGAACCUGCCCCCCGAGCCUGGGAGUGCGGGAUGGGAAGGGGGAAAAGGUGCGUGGGCAGACCGGCCCGAAACUCCCCUCGCGCUCUCGCUCCGGACUGGAGGGAAAAGGGGGCGUGGAGAAAAUCUCAGGGAGCGGGGACUUCCGCAGCGUGCUCCCCGCCAGCCGAACAGCCCCCUCCCCAAAAUGAGGGGCCUCCACUGAAAUGCCUUCUUCGCAAAAGCGAAGCAAACAGCCUGGAGCCUUUCCCGCCCUGGGUGACUGACUGGAUGCUGAGAAGGAAAGUUCUGCAGUGAGUCUUAUAAAGCGGCACUGAACGACGCAUGUCCUCCGGUGAGGAUUAAACAAUAAAUAAAUACAAGUCGGAGCUGGAUUCUAGCCCGCAGUCCGGAUCCAGCACACACCCUCCCGGGUCCCUCUCUUGUCCGCUGCCUCUCCAGGCACCGAGUCGCCCAGAACCCAGAGAACCACCCCCCAGCCGGGAACGACACGCUGCUCCCUGGCACCAGAGUCUUCAAGCCUGUCUAAUGUCAAGCUCCCAGGGACACGGCCCUCCCUUGAACCGAGCCCCCACACUCCAAGCCCCCUGGACUCUUCCGUGUCUUCUGGAGCCUCUGAACCGCCUGUCUCCCCAACGAGAUUGUGAGCCCUCCAAGGCAAGGAACGGAUGAAACACCCCUUUGCAUUCCUGGCACCAGCUCCAGCUGUGCCGCGUGCGCGCACACAGGAGCCAUUCGACAGAGGCUCACGUUUGAUGCCGAGGCUCCAAACCAGGGCCCUCCAUGUAUUUCCAUUCGCAUUCCUUAAAGGGCUCCUCCUGGCCAAGCCACGUUCCCCCGUUGCAAACUGCCCGCAGCCCUGAAGGCAAAAGCUGAUAAACACUGUCCCCAUCGCUGCAGGUGAAGACGUGAGGCUCAGAGAGGAGAGGCGCCUUGCCUGAAGUUACACAGCUAGUACACGGCAGAGGGAGGACUGAAAGGGAAGUGUGUCUCCCCCCCACGGCCCGUCUGCCUGCUCUUUCUGGAACGCUCCAUGUUUUUAUACCUGCAGCCCUGUGUCCAAGCUGCAUCCUCUCCCUGGAUGCCCUCUCCACCUCCGGGACUCCCACUCCUUCUUCAAGACCUAUCGUGGAGCCACAUAGGAGAAGGGGAACACUGGAGCCCCCAGUGCAGGCGACGGCCUGGUCUCUCCUGUAUGCAACACAGAUCUGGUGGGUGGAUCGAUGAACGGUGCAAUGGGGGCCCAGCAGACCACCAUCCCCCCACUUAUCCGACUGUGUAGCCUAGGACACGCGCCUCGUUUAUCUGGAAAAUGGGCGUGGCGACGCUCUCCACCGUCCAGGACUGCCGCUGGGGUUAAGCGAGGUCCUAUCUGUGAAGCCCUUAGCGCAGCGUCUGGCACACGAUUGGGGGUAACAGUGGCCCCCCAUCUUAGAGAGGUGUGAACACGGCACAGGCUACUACACGCCAAGCACCGAGCUCAGCCACACCCAGACGCCUGCUAUGAACUCCAGGACGACUAAGGGACUAGUGGGAGACUCCUGCUGCUGCAAGAGGUGGGCUGACCGGCGCCCGGGGCCCCCGUGGCCUCCCCUGUGUUCCAGGAUCUUUGACUGAGGCCCCAGGGUGCUCUGACCUGCCAGGUGCUUUUCCCGAAUUGCCUCAUUUCAUCCUCACCACAGGCCCUGGGAGCAGCCUGUUCCCCAUUUCACAGACAAAGAAACUGAGGCUUAGACAGGUGAAGGGACAGCUCAAUGCCACACGAGUUAAGUACAGAGCCAGGAACUGAACCCAAGCCGCCCAGUGCUACUCGGCUAAUGGCAUGACCUCCCCACCUCGUGUCCCCCUCAGUCCCCUCCCUGCUCUGCAGUCUGAUGGUCUAACCUGACAAGCAGAGUUCCCGGGGCAGAUGUGGCAAGGGGGAGGGGGCUGUGGGUGACCAGGGGCUGAGGGGACCCUUCUGGCAUCCCAGGGUCAUCACUUACUGUGAGACCCGGGGAAGGAGCUUCACCUCGUACCCAGGGCUUCUGUCUUCUCCCCAGGCUGGCCAGGUGGGGAUAAAAAUAAUGCCAUACCCACCUGGUUGGGGAGCGGGCCAGGAAGGUAUGAAAAACCAUUGGUGCAAUGCCCGGCACAUGGCAAAUCCUCAGCAAAUGUCAGCAGUGAUUGUUUUUAUCACUGACAGCAUAUUUGGGGGCCCGGGCUGGCACCGUACCUGCCAGGUGCCACCCUGCUUCCUGUGUCCCGACAGUCUGGCUGCUGGCCUGGUGGGGGCCCAAGAGGAAGAUGGGGGGAGGGGAGGGGAGUUGCUCUGUUUGUUUUCUGAGACCCUCCAGGUGUGACCUGGCCCCUGCCCCUCCCUGGUAGCACCCACAACGGCAUGCAAGGCCCCCGUCAUCAAAACCGGCCCAGGUCCCCUUCAGGCCACGCUUUCUGGAUAAACCCACCAGGACUCAUCCACCCCCCCGGGGAGGGGCAGGGAUCACACACUCCUGGAUCCUCUUUCCUCCGUGGCACCAGCCUCUGUCCUCACGGGCUGACACACAGCAGGGAGUGCCGAGAACACAGCCCCGCCCAGCGCCGCGCUUAUCUGCGUAUACACCCACACCCACCCACCCACACACACACACACCCCUUUCCUGCACGCACAUCUCAGGGGCUCUGUGGGGACCACCUCAGCACAGGAGGAGGGCUCCUACCCCGCCACCUCCGUUCCUCCUUCCUGUCCUGUGUCCCUCCGUGUGUCUAUCCGUCUCUACCAGCCAAUCAGUCAGCUCCAGUGGGGCCCAGGUCACUCCUUCCCAGGUCAGCUCCCCCUCCCCAUCCCCCCAUCCACAGUCUGUCUGUCUGUCUGUCUGCAGCUAGCUCAGUCCUACACCUCGUCUCUGCCACAGCCUCCCCAGCGAGACCCCGCCCCUCCCUCAGCCGGGUCUUGUCACUCCUCCACCGUCCCUACCCAUCCAGCCCCACCCCCUUAUCUGUCUCCCUCGGCCGUCAGCCUGUCUGUCCAUCUAUCCGCACUGCUUCCUUCCUCCCCCAUCUGCCGGGCCUCUCUCAGCCCUCUCUGGGUCCCAUCCAUCACUUUCAAGACAGCCGUGCCCAGCCGGGUUGUCACCUCCUGGCAGCUCCCAGCUGCCUGUCAGUCAGUCUGUCCACCAGCCCAUCCAUCCAUCCGUCUGCCAUCCCAUCCAUCAUGCCGCAGCCGCUUGUCCGUACUUGCCACCGCUCCCCGAUUCUCUGACUGGGCCCCCUGCGGCGCCCCUCAGCCAGCCCCGGCUAGGGGUGUGUGCGUACGAACACACCUGUUCACAUCGGUAGGUCUCUCCGUGACCUCUGACACGCAUGUGUUCAGUCCUGGGCCCAGCUCGAGGGGCCGGGGACUUGGACGCAGCCCCGCCUCGAGG